GGCCCCGGGGCCCUAGACCCCCGCAGGAGGACGCCGGCCACCCGGCCGCGGGGCCACCCUGCCCGGCCCUGGCCGCGACCCCCCCGCCCGCAGCAUGGCCGGUGACCGAUUGCACAGAAACUCCACAAACGGGCCCUUUCCGUCGAGCUCGAAAGAAAAAAAAAAAAAAAACGAUUUAAGUGCCGCCGACCUGUUGCCUCACGUUGGCCAGAGGCGGGGAAGCAGCAAGGAAAAAUUCUGCAGCAGGGACUUGACUGGCCUCAGUCUUCAAGGAGCCAGUGUUUGUAAGUGGUGACCCACCCCUUCUCUGGCCUUGUCAAGAGACUCCAAUCCCUGCCCAUGGGGUGCCCCUGGCCCCACAGCCGCCUGGGGAGCAGCUGGGCAAAAGGCCUGGGCCAGGAGGAGAGAAAGGACCUUUCAGGCAGAGGCACUGAGGGGUGGGGUACCCAGUGGUCCAGUUGUUGCAUGGGGAAGGACUCGACCCUGUCAUCUCAGCACUAGAUCUCCUAGCAACACUUUGAAGGAGUUCUGUUCUCCCCACCUGAUGAUUGGAAAGACUAGUUCUGGGACAGGGAGAGAUUGUCCUUGUCAUACAGAUAAGAAGUGGUGGGGCUGAAUCUGAUCUGCCCCCAGACUUUGGGAAAACCUGGCAUGGUAGAGGGUGGAUGUGGGAGGGAACUCAGGGCCCCUCUGAGGGACCUAAGGGGAAAGAGAGAGGUCCAGGGUAGGGAAUGUGGGGGAUUGGCUUUUCUUGGAGUGCUAUGGGAGGUCACAGGGGAGACAGCGAGAGCUGAGGUGGACUCAGGAGAGUCCUAGAACCCCUUGCGGAGCUGACGUCUACCCACACGGCCUGGCCUCCCCAGCACCCCACCCCAGGCUUGACCAAGGGCUCCUCAGCAGUUGAGUGGCAGGAGCCUCUUAGUUUGGGUGGCAGGGUGGGGGUGGGUGGUGGCAUGGCUCCUGGGGACAUGACGGAAUCAGGAGGGUGAAGGGAUAAACCUAAGAUGAGCCUGGGACCCGUGUGUGACUCCGUCUCUCUGUCCCCAGGCUCAGGGCCCCAAGCCCAGGAUCACUCAGAGAACCUUCUCUGGAUGGGCUUGGAUUGGUCCCGGAGGACCCAGGUGUACUGCUACCUGGUGCACCAGGAUGGCCAGGCAUGGCCCCAAGGGGAGCCAGGAAAGACCCCUGUCCCACAGCUGCUCUGCCACUGGUUGCUCUUGGUCCCCACGCUCUGAAUUCCUGGACCUGAAAACCAAAGCAAUCUGGUCAGCCCCAGGGACAGAGUGGCCCAGUGUCACACCUCCUGCUUUCCUCAGCUGCCAAGCUGGAAGCCUGAUCCUGAUUGAAGAGCUCUGCCUGCCUCACCCCGGGGACUGAGGCCAGACGAAGCCACCAUGUGUCCCCUGCAGCUCCCCACAGGGUGUGAUGGCUUCCUUCCUUGUGCCUAGUGCCCUGGGGUCCCUGAUCCGGGUGGAACCUCCCAUACCCCAACCCUUUCCACCGAGGUCCAGUUCGGGGAGCCUGCCAGCCUGCUGACUCCAUCUACAGAUGUCUGGGGACAGCCUUCAACAGCCACCUGAGGCUGUCUGAGAGGAGAGGACGAGGGGCCUCCUUAGGGCUGAUCCACUGAUGUGCCCCUUUCAAGACCCCCGUCUCACCCUCGAGCGACCGGCUCCCCAGCUGCAGCUUUGUGGCUCAGGUGGAGCUGCCUGGGGCCUGUGACAUCUCUUACCGGCUGGGAGAGGGGUGGGGAGAGCCUCAGGGCCCCUGGCCCGCGGCCCCUCCCCUGCAGAAAGCUCCAUCCUGUGCCACCCCCUCCCCCAGGGUACAGGGUGUCCCUGCGCAGCCCUCAAGGGUCAGGGGAGGGGCAGGGGAGGGGAUGCACGUCUUUCGCCCCGUGUUCCUGCCACUGCUUUCCUGACCGGUUUGGCCUUGAGUACUUAGCGCGCUUCUUCCCCACCCCUUCCCUCUCCCGCACUGGGCCCUGGCUGCCUGACAGGCUCUCCAUGCACUUUAUUUAUUUGCAGUCUGUGUUCCAGGCGGCAGAGCUUCUACAGCAUCAGAGCCACGGGCUGAAUAUGAUGACUGUCACUUUCCCGUGUGUGAUUAACUGCUGGUCAGCGCCCUCUGCUCAGAGGAAUGGGCUCGUUUCUGCUGUCAAAUCCUGUCACUCUAAGUUAAAAAGAAAACCUUCCCUAAGUUCAAUAAAAUGAAAUACAAGUGGAGGCCAUC
Long non-coding RNA from Canis lupus familiaris (dog), 2232 nucleotides. RefSeq lists it as uncharacterized. Lineage: Eukaryota; Metazoa; Chordata; Mammalia; Carnivora; Canidae. The transcript has 2 exons. The record is from RefSeq and is a predicted model, not a curated record.